ACAAGUAAACAAAUACACAGCUAUAUGCUUUCAAAGGUACAGAGGUAACUUUCCUUUCACAUCAACAUGGGCAUCUACAUUGAAACAUGGUGUAAAGAAAUCAGACAGUAAAGGUGAGAUGGAGCAAAGAACAAAGAGGAAUAACAGUGGUAUCACUGAAGUGAAUCCAGCUGAAGAUACACUAUUAUUCUAUUAUUUCUUAACAUUGUGAAAUAAAAGAUUUUUGACCAGUAUCACAAUUUCUCAUGUAUCACUGAACUUCCUUAAUCAAAUGAUAAAAAAACUGUUUCAUCACAGUCUAUCACUGUAUAUUUUGAUCCAAAUCCAGAAGCAGAUGAAAAAUUCACAAAUGUAUUCUCAUUGAAACAGCUCUUUCAGCAAAGACUGGUACAGAGGGAAUUUUCCUUUCACAUCAAAAUGAGCAUCUAUGUUUCUAUAGAACAAAGUAAAACAUGGUGUAAAGAAAUCAGACAGUAAAGGUGAGAUGGAGCAAAGAACAAAGAGGAAUAACAGUGGUGUCACUGAUGUGAAUCCAGCUGAAGAUACACAAUUAUUCUAUUAUUCAUUAACAUUGUGAAAUAAGGGAUAUCUGAUCAGUAUCACAAUUUCUCCUGUAUCACUGAACUUUUUAAAUCAAAUGAUAAAAAUCUGACUCAUCACAGUCUAUGUCUGUAUAUUUUGAUGCAAAUAUAGAAGCAGAUAAAAAAUUCAUGAAUCUCUUCUCAUUGAAACAGCUUCUAUCAACAAAGACAGGUACACUGCUACAGUGUGUGAAGAAAAA
This is a long non-coding RNA of Scomber scombrus (Atlantic mackerel), 781 nucleotides long. RefSeq lists it as uncharacterized. Lineage: Eukaryota; Metazoa; Chordata; Actinopteri; Scombriformes; Scombridae. The record is from RefSeq and is a predicted model, not a curated record. The transcript is spliced from 3 exons.